GCACCGUCUUUGAACCAGUGAGUUGCCUGGCUGUGGCGUCACCGGCCAGGCGUCGGUGCCAGAAUAAUCUGCUUGUUAUAACUGGUGCCUCAUGGCUGUCUCCCUUGUGGCACUUUUACAACAAAGCUACAGAU
Rana temporaria (common frog) is the source of this 134-nucleotide small nucleolar RNA. The record is from RefSeq and is a predicted model, not a curated record. NCBI's taxonomy places the organism in Eukaryota, Metazoa, Chordata, Amphibia, Anura, Ranidae.